This 114-nucleotide ribosomal RNA is filed under the name Pogona vitticeps (central bearded dragon). The record is from RNAcentral. Lineage: Eukaryota; Metazoa; Chordata; Lepidosauria; Squamata; Agamidae.
GUAUGCCAUCAAACCACCUAGAAUAAACCCAUCCCAUUGAUUUUGGAAGCAAAGUCAGGUCAAGUCUGGUUAGGACGUGGGUGGGAGACCAACAGGGCCUAUCGCUGGCAUUCA